GUGUCAGCCGCCGCGGUAAUACGAGGGGUGCUAGCGUUGUCCGGAUUUACUGGGCGUAAAGGGUACGUAGGCGUUUUAAUAAGUUGUAUGUUAAAUAUCUUAGCUUAACUAAGAAAGUGCAUCCAAAACUGUUAAAAUAGAGUUUGAGAGAGGAACGCAGAAUUCAUGGUGGAGCGGUGACAUGCGUAGAUAUCAUGAGGAAAGUCAAAUGCGAAGGCAGCCUUCUGGCUCAAAACUGACGCUGAGGUACGAAAGCGUGGGGAGCGAACAGGAUUAGAUACCCUGGUAGUCCACGCCGUAAACGAUGAGUAUUUGAUGCUGGGGGAUUCGACCCUUUCAGUGCCGUAGCUAACGCGAUAAAUACUCCGCCUGGGGACUACGAUCGCAAGAUUGAA
Molecule: ribosomal RNA, 395 nt
Filed under: uncultured bacterium
Lineage: Bacteria
Description: bacterial SSU rRNA
Rfam family: Bacterial small subunit ribosomal RNA
Source: RNAcentral